Molecule: long non-coding RNA, 460 nt
Organism: Leptidea sinapis
Lineage: Eukaryota; Metazoa; Arthropoda; Insecta; Lepidoptera; Pieridae
Exons: 4
Source: RefSeq, a predicted model, not a curated record
GGUCUUUAUAUCAAUAUUUUAUAUAAAUAGGUAAAGCGUGUAGUUCAAAAUGUAACAUAAGUUUUCUUUUUGAUCAUCGAACAACAGGACGGGUUUAAACGAACAAAUAUGAAAUUCAUCUGGUUGAUAACAGUAAUAGUGGCGGUGUUCUUCUGGCCUCUCGCGACUGCUGAAAAGGACUGUUACAAAAAUUGUUCUCUGGUCCUCAAACCCGUUUGUGCCACCAAUGGCAACACGUAUAGCAGUCUAUGAUUCUUGAAAUGCGACGGCGCAACAUUUGCUCAUAAUGGAAACUGCUAGUGCAGUGCUAUGAGUUUGUCGAUUAAAAGAAUUACUUAAAUUGCAAUUGUAUUAUUUUAACAUAGUAUUAUAAAGGCCGGCAACGCUCUUGUGAUUCCUCUGGUUUUGCAAGAGAAUGUGGGCGGCGGUGAUCACUUAACACCAGGUGACCCGUACGCUC